Molecule: signal recognition particle RNA, 310 nt
Filed under: Cebus imitator (Panamanian white-faced capuchin)
Lineage: Eukaryota; Metazoa; Chordata; Mammalia; Primates; Cebidae
Description: Metazoan signal recognition particle RNA (ENSCCAG00000003541.1)
Rfam family: Metazoan signal recognition particle RNA
About the family: The signal recognition particle (SRP) is a universally conserved ribonucleoprotein. It is involved in the co-translational targeting of proteins to membranes. The eukaryotic SRP consists of a 300-nucleotide 7S RNA and six proteins: SRPs 72, 68, 54, 19, 14, and 9.
Source: RNAcentral
GCUGGGUGUGGUGGCGCCCACCUGCAGUCCUGCAGUCCUGGCUACACAGCAGGAUGAAGUGGGAAAGUGGCUUGAGCCCAGGAGUCCUGGGCUGUAGUCCACUGUGCUGAUUGGAUAUCCAUACUAAGCUCAGCAUCAAUAUGGUAAACUCCGGAAAGGAGGGACUACCAAGCUGCCAAAGGAGGGGUAAACCAGCCCAGAUCAGAAGUGGAGUGAGACAAAAAUCCCAUGCUGAUCAGUAGUGGGAGCGUGCAUGUGACCAGCCUAGCCACUCACUCCAGCCUGGGCAACAUAGCAAAACUUCAUCUCU